Molecule: long non-coding RNA, 1448 nt
Organism: Grus americana (Whooping crane)
Lineage: Eukaryota; Metazoa; Chordata; Aves; Gruiformes; Gruidae
Exons: 5
Source: RefSeq, a predicted model, not a curated record
AGAGGUCCAGUGUUCCUGAGUCCAAUGAGUCUGUGGGCUGCGAUAUCAAAGUCAGAGCUGCUACAGUUUCUUCAUCAUCUGAAGAAAGAAGCCUUGAACAGAAAUAAAAUUGCCUGACCCAUGCUAUACUGUUUUGCAGUUUGACAGUGAAAUCUGAUCGGGACCAAAUUCAGCUGUGGUUAUCUAUCUAGCAAACUAUGUGUUUGCUUUGGGAAGUGGCAAUGAUGUUUUAGCUCUGUUUUUUUUCCACUGAAGAUUCCCAUCUCAUCAAUCCCACCUGAGUGGCCUUUCAUUUAUGCCGAUGUUCUACUAGAUUGAAUCCAUAGAUCCAUGACAUGCCUUUCUUCCCUGGCACCUUUAAUGAUGAGAAACUCCAGUAUGGUUUGACGGCUAGAAACCAAGCUAAUUACACAAUCUGAGAUCUAAGGUUUCUAGUAAACUAUGAGAGGAGAUGCAGAGCUGCAUUGUCUCAAUCCUAGCAGUGGAAGAUAUUGCAGGAAGAUACAUCUAUGGCCUCACAAUGAGGACUUAAGAAGUUCUCACCAAGCAGAAGACCAGAUUCAUAGUGUAUCUUUAAUCAUUCAUGUGGAAAGAAACAAGAAAAAGAGAAGCUGACAGAAUCACAUUCUAGUAAAUAGUACUUCCAAGACCAAAAUACACCUUUGAAAAUCAAGAAUUAGCAAAUAAAUUCACCAUGUUAUUAUGACUGUAACAAGAAACUCUUGUGUCUUCAGGGUAAAAUAACAACCAGGGAUUUCAAUCAUUCUCCUACCCCCCAAGAAAACCUUCCCACUGAAUUUAUUUACUUUUUUCUUAAAUAACAGUGAAAUCUUUCUAUGGAAUGCACAGAUGGCCAGACAAGGCAUACUCAGUUAAAUAAGGGAGAAAAAUUAGAACAAACCUCAAGGGUAGACUGAUAUAUCUGUGAUUCUUUUCUUUAACGUUAUGAUAGUCUUAACCACAAAGUAAAAUGUCUGUCAACAGGCUAGAUGUAAUGAUCCUGCAGUCAUUUCUCAGUCCAAACCUCCACUGAUUUCAGUUCAGAGCCACAACUUGGGCAAAAGUAUGAAGUUUGGUUUUAGGAGGUAUCUGCCAAUCCAAUGACAAUUCACAAUAAUUUGCUUUGGAAGCAGCCCCAUAUGUAUUCUGGUUUGGUGUACAGUGUUCUAGAUAUCUUCAUAAAAGAUAUCUAUCAUAAAAGCCCCAUUUUUCAGAUUUAUUGCAUCUGGUCGAAUUUAGUGUAAAUAUGAGUAUGGUAUAGUGUAGCCAAUGUAGUGUAUUGUGUGUAUAGUUUGUAACCCAUAUGUGUAUACUGUAGUAUAACCAAUGUAGCAUGAAUAUGUUUUACGUGAAGGGAGAGUAGCUAUUUUGAAACAUUAUAAAAUCGAAUAUGUUUAAUUAUGUAAUGUGAAUUUCAAAAUAUAUGUAUUAUCUAUUAAAUGCUGAAU